Molecule: transfer RNA, 62 nt
Filed under: Cephalochlamys namaquensis
Lineage: Eukaryota; Metazoa; Platyhelminthes; Cestoda; Pseudophyllidea; Cephalochlamydidae
Description: tRNA-Thr
Source: RNAcentral
GGCUUUUUAGUUUAUUUAAAAUAUUGGUUUUGUAAGCCAAAGAUGACAAAUGUCUUUAGCCU